This 320-nucleotide small nuclear RNA is filed under the name Octodon degus (degu). RNAcentral describes it as "7SK RNA (ENSODEG00000022997.1)". It matches the Rfam family "7SK RNA". From Rfam's summary of the family: 7SK was discovered as an abundant small nuclear RNA in the mid-70s but a possible function has only recently been suggested. Two independent studies have found that 7SK RNA binds the CDK9/cyclin T complex (known as elongation factor P-TEFb). Lineage: Eukaryota; Metazoa; Chordata; Mammalia; Rodentia; Octodontidae. The record is from Rfam by way of RNAcentral.
GAGUGUGAGGGUCGUCUGGCUGUGAUGUCUAUCACUCUGCUGAGUGGCAGAGCUGAUUCUGCUGAACUGGCUGGCCAGGUGGGUGUCCCUUCCUCCCUCACUGCUCCACCUGCAUCCCGCAAAGCUGUGCAAUCAUUGAAAGAGGACAACCACCUCUAAAAAGACAACUGCUUCCUUGGGCAAGGGUGUAGGUGUACAUGGGCUCCCCUGCAGAACCUCCAAACACCAUGAGUCCUGAAGUGCUGGAAACCACUGAUCCAGGCCAAGACCAAUGUGGUUCUGACUCAGAAUGGCACCAGAGGGCCAGAGGACCACAUAUG